GCAUAAUAAAGUACAUCAACGGAGCCUGGUAACGUUAUUCUUAGAUCCGUGAGUGCUUAACCCACGGUAACUCAAGGUGAGUUAGGCUUUUACCUCCAGUAAAAGUUAAAAACUCCCCUGUAAUAUUAUCUUGUCAUCUUCGUCAUAAGAGAGAAACAGAAAAGCUCAUAAAGUUCAUGACAUUUCAAGCUUGCUAGAUCUGUCUAGCGGUGGUUGCUAGAUCUGUCAAGCGCUGGUUGCUAAAUCUGUCAAUUUCUGGUGUGCAGUUGCCGAUAGUUGUUUCGUAUGAGACCGUGGAAACUGUUGUGUCCACAAACAAUGCAGUGCCUCAUUUAGUAGAACCACCGAAGGAGGGUAUGGUAUUCAAAAGCUGGCAGGACAUUGAGGUCUACUUUAAACAAUAUGCACAACAGCAUGGUUUUGGUGUAAGUAGGGUUCAAGGUGCAUAUAAUACGAAAAUCAAAGAGCGUAGGGCCACUGCGUGGAGGUGUGAAUGCUGGGGUGCGCCGGACAUGAGGGCACAAAGGGAGGCAAAGAAGAGGGCGACGGCCAUGGAUGUUGGUGGAACCAGGGGCAAUGUUAAUGGUGUGAUAGGGCAAGAUGAGCUGAAACAAGGCAAGAGAAAAUCCAAAAAGUGUCAAUGUGAAGCAAAUACUUACGCUAGUAUUAAUGGCAAAGAUGAGUGGGUGUUAAGAUCUGUGGACCUUACACAUACUGGCCAUAACCCCACCCCUAGCAAGGCAAAUCUGGUGAAAGAGUAUCGAAUGCAGCAUUAUACUUCAUCGGUUCGUAAAAGGCUUUUGAACUAUUACGAGGAGGGUGUUCCUAUUUCUCAAAUUCAUGGGUUCUUAUCCCAUGCAAAGGACAAAUUGCCUAAUGUAAAGGAUUUGCAACAUGAGGUGUACAAGGAGAGGAGAUUGAAAAUGGAGGGUGGGGACGCUGUAGCUAUGAUGAGGUAUUUCGAAAAGAUGCCAGCUGACAACCAAAACUUUUACCAUGCUCAUCGUCUGGAUGAACAAGGUCGGCUUAAGGAUGUGCUUUGGGUGGAUGCAAGGAGCCGGGCUGCUUACGAGCACAAUGGGACGUUGUACGCUUUGAUGCGACGUAUUUGAUGAACGAGUACGAGCUCCCUUUUGCAAACUUUGUCGGCAUCAAUCAUCAUGGACAAUCAAUUCUAUUGGAGUGUGCCCUUGUGUCGCAUGAGACCUGUGAAACCUACACUUGGGUCUCUAAACAAUGGCAAGCAUGUAUGAGGAACUGCCCGCCAUUAGGAAUGCUUACCGACCAAGCAGCUGUAAUGAGGAAACCACUUGCUGAAAUUAUGCCUUCAUCUCGACAUAGGUGGUGCAUAUGGCACAUAAUGAAGAAGUUUCCUGAGAAGCUUGGCAAAUGUAAGUUGUACAAUGAAUUCAAAAGUCCUCUUAAGGCUCUCAUAUACGAAAGCUUUACUGUGGAGGAAUUUGAGAGCCGGUGCUGUGCGUUCAUUAAGCAAUACCAACUUGAAGAAAAUGAGUGGCUUACAGAAUUUUCAAUGAGCGGCAUAUGUGGGUUUCUCCUUCAUGAAGGAGUACUUCUGGGCUGGUAUGAAGACCACCCAAAGGGUGGAAAGCAUUAACAGUUUUUUUGAUGGGUUUGUGAACCGCAAGACUAAACUUUAUGAGUUUCCCCAAAGUACACCAGAGCAAUGACUAAACGUGUCAAAGAUGAAACUGACGCAGAUGCAAAAUCAACAAAGUAUGUUCGAAGGUUGGUGAGUGGGUUUAAGGUUGAGAGACUUUAUCAGAAAUUUAUAUUGAUGCCAAAUUCCAAGAGAUUCAAAAGGAAUUGUCGAGGAUGAUGUAUUGCUAUGGGCAGGAGGAAAGAGUUAUUGAUGAAAAUAAUGUCCAUUAUUACCUUGAGGAUCGAGUGUGGGUGGUUCUGGAAGGACGGAGUUAAGAGGUUAUAACCGAUAGAAGGCGCAUGUAUUGUGUUAGGUUCAACCGAGUGUCCAAAGAAGUGAGCUGCGAUUGCUGUAAAUUUGAAACGUUUGGGAUCUUUUGCAAGCAUUGCAUACGUAUCCUAGAUCAAAAUCUAGUGUUUGAUAUACCGGAGAAGUAUAUUUUGGACCGUGGCGCAAGGAUGUAGUAAGAAAGCACACUCGGGUCAAGGUUGCCUACCACGAUCCAUCCGACACAAUGGAGGUUCAAAGGUUCAAUAGGAUAAUGACUAAGUUCAAACCUAUUUGUGAUGAAGCUUCAAUGGUUGAUGAUGAUACAGUUGACAUGGUUCUGUCCACUUUGUCCAAGCUCAGGAUUGAUGUCAGUGAUCGGCGGAAGAAGUUUAUUGAAGCAAAUGGUGUUCUGACCCUCCCUAGUACACAAUAUCCCACAUCUGGGAAAGGUUCCACUAGUAACGCUAUAACUCCAUCUUCAGAGAGAAAACGAAUUCCCACACAUACUCCCGAGGGUGUGGACUUGGUUGAUCCCGAUGAUGAUGUACCUGACCAAGUGGUUAGCCAGCCUAAAGCUGUACCUCAAAUUAGCCAGCAAUUACUUGACCCAAAUACCAACAAAAGGCCUCGAGGGAGGCCUAAAGGAUCUCGCAACAAACCCUUAUCAGAGACAGGCUACAAAACCACAAACAAGAAACAGGGGAAGGAUGUGCAGCCUACAGAUGCAGAUAUGGACAUGGAUUUACCUAUGAGAGAUGUGCUUCCAAGCCUUGCUGCUCCGAAACUCGUGCCGGCUAAGGUUGUUAAAUUGUCAUUGUUAUUCCAGUCUAUAAAAUGCUGUUACAACCUAAAGUUGGAGCUUAUGCUGUACUCUGUCAACUUUGGUACUCUGUGAAGCAGUAGUUGAUGUCGUACUGUGUUCUUUCCAAAGGAAGAAAAAAACCAAGAGACAGUGCAAGAACAAUGGUUUGAAAUUGGCUACGUGCCGUGAAGAUGUUUCAAUGGAAUUCUAAGGACAACCUGGUUGCAUGGUGAUUAAGAAGAACUGUGUGCUUCGUUGUCGAGACUUUGUGUUAUGUAAUGUAUGAUAUUUUCAGGACAUUCAUACUGCCGUGGUAUUGUGGAGACUUAGUCUUAUGUAAUGUAUGUUAUUUUCAGGACA
This is an RNA transcript of Chenopodium quinoa (quinoa), 3092 nucleotides long. RefSeq lists it as uncharacterized. The record is from RefSeq and is a predicted model, not a curated record. Lineage: Eukaryota; Viridiplantae; Streptophyta; Magnoliopsida; Caryophyllales; Amaranthaceae. The transcript has 4 exons.